CUGAUAACAUAUGUACUAAAAUUAUAACAAUACAAAGAUUAGCUUGACCCCUGUGCAAGGCUGACAAGCAAAUUCAUGAAGCAUCCCACAUUUAA
RNAcentral lists this small nuclear RNA (95 nucleotides) under Nannospalax galili (Upper Galilee mountains blind mole rat). Lineage: Eukaryota; Metazoa; Chordata; Mammalia; Rodentia; Spalacidae. The record is from RNAcentral.